GUUAUUUUUCUACAAGUGGGUCCGUUAUACCCAACCCUGCUUUCCUGCAAUUAUUUAGUCUCCAAAGUUUUUUUUUUUAUCAUUUCUUCUUCUUCUUCUUCUUCUUCUUCCCACUACGAGUCGAACUCUGUAGUAAAGUGUAAUUGACUCGGGCGCAUCUCAAACAGACAGGAGGCCACUCUUCUGGCCAAAAGUAAAAGUCCAGGAAAUAAACUGGACGGUGUUUACAAUAAAAUAUGAUAUUAAUUACAUCUAUGUACACUGGUUAUCCUGCUGUCUAUUUCAGAUGUGGCUGGGUCCAGGGGAUGGUAUUCACUCUGGCCCUGAAGUCCUCUAGAGAUCCAGACUCCACUACAGAU
Molecule: long non-coding RNA, 359 nt
Filed under: Mytilus galloprovincialis (Mediterranean mussel)
Lineage: Eukaryota; Metazoa; Mollusca; Bivalvia; Mytilida; Mytilidae
Source: RNAcentral